Long non-coding RNA from Drosophila innubila, 2015 nucleotides. RefSeq lists it as uncharacterized. The record is from RefSeq and is a predicted model, not a curated record. The transcript is spliced from 3 exons. NCBI's taxonomy places the organism in Eukaryota, Metazoa, Arthropoda, Insecta, Diptera, Drosophilidae.
UUUCCUUUGAAAAGUUGUGCAGUUAAGACGUGUCAGUAGUUAGAAGUUCUUAGUUUCUGGAAAGUUAUAUAACCAGACAGUGAAAUACAAGUCGCAGCACGCUGAUCAACACUCAAGCAGCAGCAGAGUUGCAAAACGUGUGCAAACCUGUUAUACCUAGAUUGUAAUGAAAUAUGUGAAGGCUGUGAAGAGUGUGAGAUGAUGAGAUGAGGAGGACGAACAAAUGGCCUUCGUGAACGAGCAGAGCAGUGAGUCAUUGGCGACUGCUGGUGCGAUCUCUGUCUAUUCAACGCUCAUCAGAAUGAAGCCUUUGGUCCGGGAUUCACACUCGUUUUCCUGCUCCUCGAUACGUUCGUUAAUGGCAACGAUGAGGAGGAACGGAACACUUGACAAACAACCAAAAGAGAGCAACCAAUCAUCAACAUCGAUAUCGAAACCGAAUCAAAUUGAAACGCAAUGAUAUCAAAAAUCAUCAAAUCCCAUCAUCGAUUGUUAAUCGAAUGGCUUCAAGAUUUUUGUUUUAUAACACUGAGUGAGUCUUCACGUCUGUCCGUCUUCUACUACAGCAGCAGCAACAACAACCGCAACCACCAGCAAUGGCAAUGGCAUCGGGUUGUUGUUGUGCGCCAGCCGAUCCUACACAGUAACAGUUCGCCGAAGGCAGCAGCUUAGCAGCAGCAGCAGCAGCAAACACCACCGAGUCUCCUUUGCCCAAACCAGAAAAAAAAAAAACAAAUGCAGAAAUGCAAAAUAUGCCAGAUGCAGCUGACAAAAAUAUAUAAUGGGGGACAAGGCGGAAUUGCGCGCGGCAGCAGCAGCAGCAGCUUCAGCUCAACAGCAAACGUGUGUGCGUGCGUGUGAGUGUGUGUGUGCGUGUGCUUUAUUUGCCUACUCUACCAACUACCAAUAUCACCACCACCACCACCGCCGCCGCCACCACGACCACAAUAUCACCACCUACUCUACAUACAGCGCGCUUAGCAGUUGCUGACGCCACCCACCACCCAUCCACACAGUUAUAUCUCUGCAUACACACGGUAUUCGUAUAUCAGCUGCGAACGCAACAACAAAUUGCUUUUUAAAAUAGAUUUACAGCGCACAAGGAGAAGCAGAAAUGAAUGGAGGAGCAACAGCAACAACAUCGUCACAGUUGAAUGUGCCUGUGACGCAACGGAAUUUGUUUUCUUGAAACUACGCAGCCAUCUUGAUCGUAUUUCGUCGUUUUCGUUGUCGUCAUCAUCACUAUCAUCACUUUGUCGGUCGCCUAUCUUUUUCUUCACUUCGCUCACACUUUGACACAAUGGUGGCACGUAAGCCGUAUGGGAUUUUGCUCGUUUAAUAACACUUGAAUUGCAGACACAUUUAUCAAGCAGUGGCAAGCAGUGCCCAAGCAGUGCUAAAUGCGAUUGGAUCUCGGCAUCUUCUGCUUAAUUUUUUUUUUAUUCUCUAUCAAAACAACAUGUCUUUUAGCGGUAUGAUGCAGUUGAACGGUUCCUGCACGUAUCUUAAACUAAGAAAUUGACUGUCGCAUCAGUUUGGAUAAUUGAGAGGCAUUAGGCAAAAAUACUUGGAAUUGAUAAUGCGUAUCCACUCGCAAGGAACAAGUUUGAAAUAUUGUUUAUCUCUAUCCGUUAUGUACAGCCUAAAUAUGAGGGCUUCCAUCUUUUUGUAGCGAUGCAUCACAGUUGACCAGUGCCUGUGAGCGUCUCACGUCUUGAUUGAAUCAAAUGGAAGGCAGAGAGAGAGAGAGAGAGACACCUAUAUAUAUAUGCACUUAUCCGUUCAAUUGGAAGAUGAUCAACCAGAGAGAGGUUCUACUAUCUAAUAACGAUAACCAAUUAACUGACUACACUCACGUAAACUCCCCACCUGUAGUUUAGGACAAAGACAAUUUUUCGUUUAUAUUUUUUAGCGAUGCGACGCAGUUGAACGGUGCCUGCGUGCAUCUGCAAGAAAGAGUAUGAUGAGAGAGGAGAAUCCAAUACAAUCUUUUCGCAAUUAUAGAGCUCUACCCA